CGGCGUGCCUAAUACAUGCAAGUCGAACGAACUCUGGUAUUGAUUGGUGCUUGCAUCAUGAUUUACAUUUGAGUGAGUGGCGAACUGGUGAGUAACACGUGGGAAACCUGCCCAGAAGCGGGGGAUAACACCUGGAAACAGAUGCUAAUACCGCAUAACAACUUGGACCGCAUGGUCCGAGUUUGAAAGAUGGCUUCGGCUAUCACUUUUGGAUGGUCCCGCGGCGUAUUAGCUAGAUGGUGGGGUAACGGCUCACCAUGGCAAUGAUACGUAGCCGACCUGAGAGGGUAAUCGGCCACAUUGGGACUGAGACACGGCCCAAACUCCUACGGGAGGCAGCAGUAGGGAAUCUUCCACAAUGGACGAAAGUCUGAUGGAGCAACGCCGCGUGAGUGAAGAAGGGUUUCGGCUCGUAAAACUCUGUUGUUAAAGAAGAACAUAUCUGAGAGUAACUGUUCAGGUAUUGACGGUAUUUAACCAGAAAGCCACGGCUAACUACGUGCCAGCAGCCGCGGUAAUACGUAGGUGGCAAGCGUUGUCCGGAUUUAUUGGGCGUAAAGCGAGCGCAGGCGGUUUUUUAAGUCUGAUGUGAAAGCCUUCGGCUCAACCGAAGAAGUGCAUCGGAAACUGGGAAACUUGAGUGCAGAAGAGGACAGUGGAACUCCAUGUGUAGCGGUGAAAUGCGUAGAUAUAUGGAAGAACACCAGUGGCGAAGGCGGCUGUCUGGUCUGUAACUGACGCUGAGGCUCGAAAGUAUGGGUAGCAAACAGGAUUAGAUACCCUGGUAGUCCAUACCGUAAACGAUGAAUGCUAAGUGUUGGAGGGUUUCCGCCCUUCAGUGCUGCAGCUAACGCAUUAAGCAUUCCGCCUGGGGAGUACGGCCGCAAGGCUGAAACUCAAAGGAAUUGACGGGGGCCCGCACAAGCGGUGGAGCAUGUGGUUUAAUUCGAAGCUACGCGAAGAACCUUACCAGGUCUUGACAUACUAUGCAAAUCUAAGAGAUUAGACGUUCCCUUCGGGGACAUGGAUACAGGUGGUGCAUGGUUGUCGUCAGCUCGUGUCGUGAGAUGUUGGGUUAAGUCCCGCAACGAGCGCAACCCUUAUUAUCAGUUGCCAGCAUUAAGUUGGGCACUCUGGUGAGACUGCCGGUGACAAACCGGAGGAAGGUGGGGAUGACGUCAAAUCAUCAUGCCCCUUAUGACCUGGGCUACACACGUGCUACAAUGGAUGGUACAACGAGUUGCGAACUCGCGAGAGUAAGCUAAUCUCUUAAAGCCAUUCUCAGUUCGGAUUGUAGGCUGCAACUCGCCUACAUGAAGUCGGAAUCGCUAGUAAUCGCGGAUCAGCAUGCCGCGGUGAAUACGUUCCCGGGCCUUGUACACACCGCCCGUCACACCAUGAGAGUUUGUAACACCCAAAGUCGGUGGGGUAACCUUUUAGGAACCAGCCGCCUAAGGUGGGACAGAUGAUU
RNAcentral lists this ribosomal RNA (1471 nucleotides) under Lactiplantibacillus plantarum. RNAcentral describes it as "Lactobacillus plantarum 16S ribosomal RNA". It matches the Rfam family "Bacterial small subunit ribosomal RNA". Lineage: Bacteria; Bacillati; Bacillota; Bacilli; Lactobacillales; Lactobacillaceae. The record is from RNAcentral.